CCAAGCCGGCACCUCCCCAGCCCUCCUGCCCAGCCCUGUGCUCCGGGAAACAUUUCGGGAACAUUUAAAAACAAAACAUUUUUCAACCAAACCUUUAGAAGCACAGACCGCGCCCAGAGCCCGUCCGCCUUGAAACCCGACACUGACACCCGCUGGCCUCCAGUUCAUCCAAGAAAAUGUCUUCAUGGGCGAAGGGCUUUCUCCUCAACAGGAAGGCCAGCCACCGAGUGACAACAUGAAGAGCCUCACCACCAUCAUCAUCAUCAUCACUGCCUGAGGUUUUAGCCGCCGCCUCCACACCUGCCCAGGGACUGGCCCCGCCUCCAGCUCCCGCCCAGCGGCUGGCAUAGCCCCUUCCCACCACGUCCGGAAACUGACCGGCAGGAGGGAGUGUGGGCAACGCACCCAUGCGGACCAGUCAUCGCUCCAAACGCCCAUCCCGGAGAAACAGCGUCUCAGGACAGGCGAGUGCCCCCCCGACGGCCCGGCAGAGGCCGCAGGAGCCGCAGGAGCGCCCCUCGGAGGGGAACACAGACGCGGGUCUCCGGGACCAGGCGGACCAGGCGGACGGAGGUGGAGUCCACUCCCUCCUGAGCACUGGGAGUCAGGGGCGAGCUGAGCCCCGACCUGGCAGCCGUCCCUGACCCCGAGCCCGGGUCACCCCGUCAGACACGGGGGAGGACGAGGGGCCUCCUGCUCACAGGCCGAGGGGGCUCUGCUGGCAUCACCGCUUCUCCUUCAUGCGCUCACACAAGGAAGUCGCCCUGUGCCCACGGCGCCAGGCCCGGCCCUCCACCCGGGACGAGUGGGAAGGAGACUCAAACCAAACGGGAGGCCGGGUCCACGUCUGCAGAGUCCACUAGAAUAGAUCCCCGGCACCGCCCUGGGCUCCGUGGGCUCUGUGGGUGCUUAAUUCUUAUUCUUAUUUGGUCAAUCCUCACCGGAAGGUAUUUUUCCAUUGACUUUUAAGGGAGGGAGGGAGGGAGGGAGGGGAACAUCGAUGUGAGAGACACAGCAAUUGAUUGCCUCCCCCACAGCCUCCACCGAGGUGGUGCCCUUGAAUGGAAUAGAACGGGACCCCCCAGUCUGCGGGCCGGCGCUCUAACCAUUGAGCACACCCUCUAGGGCUUGUGGGUGCUUUAGACUGAGCUUCAAGGGCAGGCAGGUGAGACAGCCACGCUCCUCACGCUUCUGCCUUGCUCUGCCCCCCAAACGCCCGCUUCCCUCAGCCCUGUGCUCCCGGCUGACCAGCUCCA
Myotis myotis is the source of this 1256-nucleotide long non-coding RNA. RefSeq lists it as uncharacterized. Lineage: Eukaryota; Metazoa; Chordata; Mammalia; Chiroptera; Vespertilionidae. The record is from RefSeq and is a predicted model, not a curated record. The transcript has 3 exons.